UAGGUUUCACCUACCCUGAAACGCUGACCAGAUUCGUGGUCAACUUGUCCCACACUCAUAGCAACAUUCCCGACGUUUCCGGCCUGGUUCGGGACACUGUGAAUGUUUUAAUCCCGGAAAUUCUCACGUUUCCCCGGCACAUCAGUCAUCUCGGUUUUGUCGAUGCAACCGGGGUAAUGCGGGAUAACAAUGUGGCCCUACCAGAACUUACGUCUUUGUCGGUCCGGGGAUUUAAGAUUCCCGCAGUGGCGAAUAAUCCCUUCCCAAGUGUGAGAAACUAUGGAAAUGUGACCACCUUGGAAAUUAAUGCGGUAACGGAAUCAGAUAUUGCUGAAAAUAUUCUCCACUUCUUGGCCCCUCAACUUGAAAUUCUUUGUAUUUCCGGCGUGCUAAAAGUCGACCUGAUGUUAAAACCCCUCGACCAAGAUUAUUUAUUUCUCCCAAAUUUUCCAAAACUAAAAAUUUUCAAGAUUUUGCGGCGUCAGUUCUCAUUGUCUAGAAGACCCACGUGGUUCCGACCCAGGCUCUACUUGAAGUUUGCAUCGGGUGAAAAGUUAUUCUAUUCCAGGCAGUUUCCUGUCCUGGAGAAAUUAGUCGUCCACGUGGUGCCAUGCCACAUGGGGACGAGGUGGAAUCGUCCCAUAUAAAAUUGGCAUUUCGAAGCCACCAUGCUUCUCUUGCAGGAAACCUUUCUCGCCGAGGGGGUCCUUCCUUGCGAGACUGUCACAAAUUUGGACAUUCCCUUCCGCGAAAAUGUUGGCAGGAUGAAAUUGAGGCGACGCUGCGAUUGCGAUGGAGCUUGUGCAUGUUGGGGGUGGAAAGAAGAUGAUGUCCUUAAUUUUUAUGAGAGGGUGACCACCACUUUCCCAAACGUGCGGUACGACCUACUUCAUAGAUUAAGAAGGAACGAGAGGAUGGCGAAUAUUGAAAAGUUUAAGAACUUCGGAAAGAAAUUGGGCAUUUGGAAUGAUGACGAGAUAAAGGAGAUGAAUCUUGCGUGAAUUGGUGUCCCUAGGAAAAAAUAAAUUAUUCUCAAAUAUUUGAAA
This is a long non-coding RNA of Folsomia candida, 1046 nucleotides long. RefSeq lists it as uncharacterized. The record is from RefSeq and is a predicted model, not a curated record. The transcript has 3 exons. NCBI's taxonomy places the organism in Eukaryota, Metazoa, Arthropoda, Collembola, Entomobryomorpha, Isotomidae.